This 798-nucleotide ribosomal RNA is filed under the name Curtobacterium sp. MCPF17_046. RNAcentral describes it as "bacterial LSU rRNA". It matches the Rfam family "Bacterial large subunit ribosomal RNA", at positions 2136 to 2925 of the family's 2925-position model. Lineage: Bacteria; Bacillati; Actinomycetota; Actinomycetes; Micrococcales; Microbacteriaceae. The record is from RNAcentral.
GUGUAGGAUAGGUGGGAGACUGUGAAGCGGGCACGCUAGUGUUCGUGGAGUCAUUGUUGAAAUACCACUCUGGUCACUUUGGAUGUCUAACGUAGGACCCUGAUCGGGUUCAUGGACAGUGCCUGAUGGGUAGUUUAACUGGGGCGGUUGCCUCCCAAAGAGUAACGGAGGCGCCCAAAGGUUCCCUCAACCUGGUUGGCAAUCAGGUGGCGAGUGUAAGUGCACAAGGGAGCUUGACUGUGAGACUGACAGGUCGAGCAGGGACGAAAGUCGGGACUAGUGAUCCGGCAGUGGCUUGUGGAAGCGCUGUCGCUCAACGGAUAAAAGGUACCUCGGGGAUAACAGGCUGAUCUUGCCCAAGAGUCCAUAUCGACGGCAUGGUUUGGCACCUCGAUGUCGGCUCGUCGCAUCCUGGGGCUGGAGUAGGUCCCAAGGGUUGGGCUGUUCGCCCAUUAAAGCGGUACGCGAGCUGGGUUUAGAACGUCGUGAGACAGUUCGGUCCCUAUCCGCUGCGCGCGUUGGAAAUUUGAGAAGAUCUAUCCCUAGUACGAGAGGACCGGGAUGGACGAACCUCUGGUGUGUCAGUUGUUCUGCCAAGGGCACCGCUGAUUAGCUACGUUCGGACCGGAUAACCGCUGAAAGCAUCUAAGCGGGAAGCCGUCUUCGAGAUGAGAUUUCCAUGCACCUUGAGUGUGAGAGGCUCCCAGCAGACUACUGGGUUGAUAGGCCGGAUGUGGAAGCGGGGACUAACGACCCGUGGAGCUGACCGGUACUAAUAAGCCGAAGACUUGACACACA